AAUCGUCAAAUUUGAAGGGGGAGUAUCGCAAGCUCUCCCGACUUUUCUGUCGCUCCGGCCGAAAAUUGUCAUAUUUCAAGGGGGAGUAUCACAAGCUCUCCCGACAUUUCUGUCGCUCCGGCCAGAAAUCGUCAUAUUUCAAGGGGGAGUAUCACAAGCUCUCCCGACACUUCUGUCGCUCCGGCCGGAAGUCAUCAAAUAUGAGCACGG
Molecule: long non-coding RNA, 210 nt
Filed under: Zostera marina
Lineage: Eukaryota; Viridiplantae; Streptophyta; Magnoliopsida; Alismatales; Zosteraceae
Description: long non-coding RNA (ZMAR_LNC005007)
Source: RNAcentral